GUCAGUUUGGCCGAGUGGUUUAAGGCGCCAGACUCAAGUUUUGGUGGAGAAAUCCGCGUGGGUUCGAACCCAAUAGCUGACA
This is a non-coding RNA of Perkinsus marinus ATCC 50983, 82 nucleotides long. NCBI's taxonomy places the organism in Eukaryota, Perkinsozoa, Perkinsida, Perkinsidae. The record is from Rfam.